This is a long non-coding RNA of Spodoptera frugiperda (fall armyworm), 536 nucleotides long. RefSeq lists it as uncharacterized. The transcript has 2 exons. The record is from RefSeq and is a predicted model, not a curated record. NCBI's taxonomy places the organism in Eukaryota, Metazoa, Arthropoda, Insecta, Lepidoptera, Noctuidae.
AAUAAAUAAGUACCGGUAAACUAUGGCAACUUUACCGGGCCCUUGGCAACUUUACCAUACUAUAGGUAUUCGGUAUAAACUCAUUUAUCUAAAAAUCUACCCACUAGAAUUCUGUUUUGUAAUAGAAGUAUUUUUUAGACAUUAAAAGGAAAUAUUUACUAUAUUUUGCGUAGACGUAAGACUGCUAUUAUGCCAGUAAUGGCCGUCACAAUGUAUGCGUGAAAAUGAGCUAAAAGUUAGUUGUUCCUAAAUUGUGCUUACAGAGCCUUAACUAUUUGUCACAGGUGAGUGAAAUUUUGAUCUUAAAUGUAUAUUAUAGUUGGGAUUACUGUUGUAAUGUCAGCAAUUGCUUUUUCUUUAAUUUAUUGAUAAAUAAUCGCUUCGGUAAUGUUGACACAGGUUAGUUAGGGUUGGCAAUAAAUGUUUUUUUCUUGUUUGUGUGUAUGUAACCAUUUUCGAAUACCUAAAUUUCACAGCAUAAUAGUGAAUAUCCUGGAUGAUAAGAUAUAAUGUAUUUAAUAAUACCUCUUGUUUUA